This 739-nucleotide ribosomal RNA is filed under the name Streptomyces sp. YIM 64758. RNAcentral describes it as "bacterial SSU rRNA". It matches the Rfam family "Bacterial small subunit ribosomal RNA", at positions 63 to 819 of the family's 1533-position model. The record is from RNAcentral. Lineage: Bacteria; Bacillati; Actinomycetota; Actinomycetes; Kitasatosporales; Streptomycetaceae.
CGAACGAUGAACCAUUUCGGUGGGGAUUAGUGGCGAACGGGUGAGUAACACGUGGGCAAUCUGCCCUGCACUCUGGGACAAGCCCUGGAAACGGGGUCUAAUACCGGAUAUGAGUUCCUUCCGCAUGGUGGGGACUGUAAAGCUCCGGCGGUGCAGGAUGAGCCCGCGGCCUAUCAGCUUGUUGGUGAGGUAAUGGCUCACCAAGGCGACGACGGGUAGCCGGCCUGAGAGGGCGACCGGCCACACUGGGACUGAGACACGGCCCAGACUCCUACGGGAGGCAGCAGUGGGGAAUAUUGCACAAUGGGCGAAAGCCUGAUGCAGCGACGCCGCGUGAGGGAUGACGGCCUUCGGGUUGUAAACCUCUUUCAGCAGGGAAGAAGCGAGAGUGACGGUACCUGCAGAAGAAGCGCCGGCUAACUACGUGCCAGCAGCCGCGGUAAUACGUAGGGCGCAAGCGUUGUCCGGAAUUAUUGGGCGUAAAGAGCUCGUAGGCGGCUUGUCGCGUCGGUUGUGAAAGCCCGGGGCUUAACCCCGGGUCUGCAGUCGAUACGGGCAGGCUAGAGUUCGGUAGGGGAGAUCGGAAUUCCUGGUGUAGCGGUGAAAUGCGCAGAUAUCAGGAGGAACACCGGUGGCGAAGGCGGAUCUCUGGGCCGAUACUGACGCUGAGGAGCGAAAGCGUGGGGAGCGAACAGGAUUAGAUACCCUGGUAGUCCACGCCGUACACGGUGGGCACUAG